RNAcentral lists this ribosomal RNA (461 nucleotides) under uncultured bacterium. RNAcentral describes it as "partial 16S ribosomal RNA". It matches the Rfam family "Bacterial small subunit ribosomal RNA", at positions 338 to 795 of the family's 1533-position model. The record is from RNAcentral.
CCUACGGGAGGCAGCAGUGAGGAAUAUUGGUCAAUGGGCGCAAGCCUGAACCAGCCAAGUCGCGUGAGGGAUGACGGUCCUAUGGAUUGUAAACCUCUUUUGUCGGGGAGCAAAGCGCGGUACGAGUACCGUGAAGGAGAGUACCCGAAGAAAAAGCAUCGGCUAACUCCGUGCCAGCAGCCGCGGUAAUACGUAGGGUGCAAGCGUUAUCCGGAUUUAUUGGGCGUAAAGGGCUCGUAGGCGGUUCGUCGCGUCCGGUGUGAAAGUCCAUGGCUUAACGGUGGAUCCGCGCCGGGUACGGGCGGGCUUGGGUGCGGUAGGGGAGACUGGAAUUCCCGGUGUAACGGUGGAAUGUGUAGAUAUCGGGAAGAACACCAAUGGCGAAGGCAGGUCUCUGGGCCGUUACUGACGCUGAGGAGCGAAAGCGUGGGGAGCGAACAGGAUUAGAUACCCGGGUAGUC